GAUGAACGCUGGCGGCGUGCUUAACACAUGCAAGUCGAACGAUGAAGCCCAGCUUGCUGGGUGGAUUAGUGGCGAACGGGUGAGUAACACGUGAGUAACCUGCCCUUAACUCUGGGAUAAGCCUGGGAAACUGGGUCUAAUACCGGAUAGGAGCGUCCACCGCAUGGUGGGUGUUGGAAAGAUUUAUCGGUUUUGGAUGGACUCGCGGCCUAUCAGCUUGUUGGUGAGGUAAUGGCUCACCAAGGCGACGACGGGUAGCCGGCCUGAGAGGGUGACCGGCCACACUGGGACUGAGACACGGCCCAGACUCCUACGGGAGGCAGCAGUGGGGAAUAUUGCACAAUGGGCGCAAGCCUGAUGCAGCGACGCCGCGUGAGGGAUGACGGCCUUCGGGUUGUAGACCUCUUUCAGUAGGGAAGAAGCGAAAGUGACGGUACCUGCAGAAGAAGCACCGGCUAACUACGUG
Molecule: ribosomal RNA, 466 nt
Filed under: uncultured bacterium
Lineage: Bacteria
Description: partial 16S ribosomal RNA
Rfam family: Bacterial small subunit ribosomal RNA
Source: RNAcentral